GAUGAACGCUGGCGGCGUGCCUAAUACAUGCAAGUCGAGCGAACGGACGAGAAGCUUGCUUCUCUGAUGUUAGCGGCGGACGGGUGAGUAACACGUGGAUAACCUACCUAUAAGACUGGGAUAACUUCGGGAAACCGGAGCUAAUACCGGAUAAUAUUUUGAACCGCAUGGUUCAAAAGUGAAAGACGGUUUUGCUGUCACUUAGAGAUGGAGCCGCGCUGCAUUAGCUAGUUGGUAAGGUAACGGCUUACCAAGGCAACGAUGCAUAGCCGACCUGAGAGGGUGAUCGGCCACACUGGAACUGAGACACGGUCCAGACUCCUACGGGAGGCAGCAGUAGGGAAUCUUCCGCAAUGGGCGAAAGCCUGACGGAGCAACGCCGCGUGAGUGAUGAAGGUCUUCGGAUCGUAAAGCUCUGUUAUUAGGGAAGAACAUAUGUGUAAGUAACUGUGCACAUCUUGACGGUACCUAAUCAGAAAGCCACGGCUAACUACGUG
RNAcentral lists this ribosomal RNA (497 nucleotides) under uncultured bacterium. RNAcentral's name for it is "partial 16S ribosomal RNA". It matches the Rfam family "Bacterial small subunit ribosomal RNA", at positions 28 to 507 of the family's 1533-position model. The record is from RNAcentral.